This 2900-nucleotide ribosomal RNA is filed under the name Klebsiella pneumoniae. RNAcentral describes it as "bacterial LSU rRNA". It matches the Rfam family "Bacterial large subunit ribosomal RNA". Lineage: Bacteria; Pseudomonadati; Pseudomonadota; Gammaproteobacteria; Enterobacterales; Enterobacteriaceae. The record is from RNAcentral. RNAcentral also lists the same sequence under 2 other names.
UUAAGCGACUAAGCGUACACGGUGGAUGCCCUGGCAGUCAGAGGCGAUGAAGGACGUGCUAAUCUGCGAAAAGCGUCGGUAAGGUGAUAUGAACCGUUACAGCCGGCGAUGUCCGAAUGGGGAAACCCAGUGCAAUUCGUUGCACUAUCGUUAACUGAAUACAUAGGUUAACGAGGCGAACCGGGGGAACUGAAACAUCUAAGUACCCCGAGGAAAAGAAAUCAACCGAGAUUCCCCCAGUAGCGGCGAGCGAACGGGGAGCAGCCCAGAGUCUGAAUCAGCUUGUGUGUUAGUGGAACGGUCUGGAAAGUCCGACGGUACAGGGUGAUAGUCCCGUACACCAAAAUGCACAGGCUGUGAACUCGAAGAGUAGGGCGGGACACGUGGUAUCCUGUCUGAAUAUGGGGGGACCAUCCUCCAAGGCUAAAUACUCCUGACUGACCGAUAGUGAACCAGUACCGUGAGGGAAAGGCGAAAAGAACCCCGGCGAGGGGAGUGAAAAAGAACCUGAAACCGUGUACGUACAAGCAGUGGGAGCACCUUCGGGUGUGACUGCGUACCUUUUGUAUAAUGGGUCAGCGACUUAUAUUCUGUAGCAAGGUUAACCGUAUAGGGGAGCCGCAGGGAAACCGAGUCUUAACUGGGCGUUAAGUUGCAGGGUAUAGACCCGAAACCCGGUGAUCUAGCCAUGGGCAGGUUGAAGGUUGGGUAACACUAACUGGAGGACCGAACCGACUAAUGUUGAAAAAUUAGCGGAUGACUUGUGGCUGGGGGUGAAAGGCCAAUCAAACCGGGAGAUAGCUGGUUCUCCCCGAAAGCUAUUUAGGUAGCGCCUCGUGAAUUCAUCUUCGGGGGUAGAGCACUGUUUCGGCUAGGGGGUCAUCCCGACUUACCAACCCGAUGCAAACUACGAAUACCGAAGAAUGUUAUCACGGGAGACACACGGCGGGUGCUAACGUCCGUCGUGAAGAGGGAAACAACCCAGACCGCCAGCUAAGGUCCCAAAGUCAUGGUUAAGUGGGAAACGAUGUGGGAAGGCACAGACAGCCAGGAUGUUGGCUUAGAAGCAGCCAUCAUUUAAAGAAAGCGUAAUAGCUCACUGGUCGAGUCGGCCUGCGCGGAAGAUGUAACGGGGCUAAACCAUGCACCGAAGCUGCGGCAGCGACACUAUGUGUUGUUGGGUAGGGGAGCGUUCUGUAAGCCUGCGAAGGUGACCUGUGAGGGUUGCUGGAGGUAUCAGAAGUGCGAAUGCUGACAUAAGUAACGAUAAAGCGGGUGAAAAGCCCGCUCGCCGGAAGACCAAGGGUUCCUGUCCAACGUUAAUCGGGGCAGGGUGAGUCGACCCCUAAGGCGAGGCCGAAAGGCGUAGUCGAUGGGAAACAGGUUAAUAUUCCUGUACUUGGUGUUACUGCGAAGGGGGGACGGAGAAGGCUAUGUUAGCCGGGCGACGGUUGUCCCGGUUUAAGCAUGUAGGCUGGUUAUCCAGGCAAAUCCGGAUAAUCAAGGCUGAGGUGUGAUGACGAGGCACUACGGUGCUGAAGUAACAAAUGCCCUGCUUCCAGGAAAAGCCUCUAAGCAUCAGGUAACAUCAAAUCGUACCCCAAACCGACACAGGUGGUCAGGUAGAGAAUACCAAGGCGCUUGAGAGAACUCGGGUGAAGGAACUAGGCAAAAUGGUGCCGUAACUUCGGGAGAAGGCACGCUGGUGUGUAGGUGAAGUCCCUGCGGAUGGAGCUGAGACCAGUCGAAGAUACCAGCUGGCUGCAACUGUUUAUUAAAAACACAGCACUGUGCAAACACGAAAGUGGACGUAUACGGUGUGACGCCUGCCCGGUGCCGGAAGGUUAAUUGAUGGGGUUAUCCGUAAGGAGAAGCUCUUGAUCGAAGCCCCGGUAAACGGCGGCCGUAACUAUAACGGUCCUAAGGUAGCGAAAUUCCUUGUCGGGUAAGUUCCGACCUGCACGAAUGGCGUAAUGAUGGCCAGGCUGUCUCCACCCGAGACUCAGUGAAAUUGAACUCGCUGUGAAGAUGCAGUGUACCCGCGGCAAGACGGAAAGACCCCGUGAACCUUUACUAUAGCUUGACACUGAACAUUGAGCCUUGAUGUGUAGGAUAGGUGGGAGGCUUUGAAGCGUGGACGCCAGUCUGCGUGGAGCCAACCUUGAAAUACCACCCUUUAAUGUUUGAUGUUCUAACGUUGGCCCCUUACCGGGGUUGCGGACAGUGUCUGGUGGGUAGUUUGACUGGGGCGGUCUCCUCCCAAAGCGUAACGGAGGAGCACGAAGGUUAGCUAAUCCUGGUCGGACAUCAGGAGGUUAGUGCAAUGGCAUAAGCUAGCUUGACUGCGAGCGUGACGGCGCGAGCAGGUGCGAAAGCAGGUCAUAGUGAUCCGGUGGUUCUGAAUGGAAGGGCCAUCGCUCAACGGAUAAAAGGUACUCCGGGGAUAACAGGCUGAUACCGCCCAAGAGUUCAUAUCGACGGCGGUGUUUGGCACCUCGAUGUCGGCUCAUCACAUCCUGGGGCUGAAGUAGGUCCCAAGGGUAUGGCUGUUCGCCAUUUAAAGUGGUACGCGAGCUGGGUUUAGAACGUCGUGAGACAGUUCGGUCCCUAUCUGCCGUGGGCGCUGGAGAAUUGAGGGGGGCUGCUCCUAGUACGAGAGGACCGGAGUGGACGCAUCACUGGUGUUCGGGUUGUCAUGCCAAUGGCACUGCCCGGUAGCUAAAUGCGGAAGAGAUAAGUGCUGAAAGCAUCUAAGCACGAAACUUGCCCCGAGAUGAGUUCUCCCUGAGACUUUAAGUCUCCUGAAGGAACGUUAAAGACGAUGACGUUGAUAGGCCGGGUGUGUAAGCGCAGCGAUGCGUUGAGCUAACCGGUACUAAUGAACCGUGAGGCUUAACCUU